This 254-nucleotide ribosomal RNA is filed under the name uncultured bacterium. RNAcentral's name for it is "partial 16S ribosomal RNA". It matches the Rfam family "Bacterial small subunit ribosomal RNA", at positions 524 to 776 of the family's 1533-position model. The record is from RNAcentral.
UACGUAGGUGACGAGCGUUAUCCGGAUUUACUGGGCGUAAAGCGCUUGUAGGUGGCUUUGUAAGUUGGGCGUGAAAACUCUGGGCUUAACCCAGAGACGCCGUCCAAUACUGCGAGGCUCGGAGGAUGUCAGAGGAAGGUGGAAUUCCUGGUGUAGUGGUGAAAUGCGUAGAUAUCAGGAGGAACACCCGUGGCGAAGGCGGCCUUCUGGGGCAUUCCUGACACUGAGAAGCGAAAGCUAGGGGAGCAAACAGG